This 408-nucleotide ribosomal RNA is filed under the name uncultured bacterium. RNAcentral describes it as "partial 16S ribosomal RNA". It matches the Rfam family "Bacterial small subunit ribosomal RNA", at positions 28 to 526 of the family's 1533-position model. The record is from RNAcentral.
GACGAACGCUGGCGGCGUGCUUAACACAUGCAAGUCGAACGAAGUGGCGAACGGGUGAGUAACGCGUAAGCAACCGGCCCUUCAGAGGGGGACAACAGUUGGAAACGACUGCUAAUACCGCAUACUGAAGGAGGGGAUGGCGUCUGAUUAGCUAGUUGGGGGGGUAACGGCCAACCAAGGCGAUGAUCAGUAGCCGGUCUGAGAGGAUGGACGGCCACAUUGGGACUGCGACACGGCCCAGACUCCUACGGGGGGCAGCAGUGGGGAAUCUUCCGCAAUGGACGGAAGGCUGACGGAGCAACGGCGCGUGAGUGAUGACGGCCUUCGGGUUGUAAAGCUCUGUUAAUCGGGACGCGGUACCGGAAUAGAAAGCCACGGCUAACUACGUGCCAGCAGCCGCGGUAAUAC